Humulus lupulus (European hop) is the source of this 796-nucleotide long non-coding RNA. RefSeq lists it as uncharacterized. NCBI's taxonomy places the organism in Eukaryota, Viridiplantae, Streptophyta, Magnoliopsida, Rosales, Cannabaceae. The record is from RefSeq and is a predicted model, not a curated record. The transcript is spliced from 3 exons.
AUACUGGGAGAGGCGAUAUAUCACCUAUAGGGGGCGAUAUAUCGGCCCCACCUAUGUAUUUUUGAAAGCUUGGUUUUUCAAUUUUAAAAAUAGCCUUAACCUCUUGACUAGCCUUUAAAUAUUUUUGACUAAGUCUUAAGCACCUAUUGAACGAAUAUUCAAAUAUUUUUCAAUUAAUACUCAUUAUUUUUAUUCAAGCUAAAAGGAGGAAGUUCACUCCUUGAACUCUAUAAAUAGGACCUAGUACCCAGCCAUUUCUCUCAUUCUUCAAGCAGUGUUCAGAGCUUUCAAGCUCCUAGUGUUACUAUAGAGUAAUAAACACUUGGGUCGGGAUAUAAGCUAUAUAAUCUUAAGGUUUGUAAACACUUCGGAAGUAAGAUAAAUAGUGUGCUUUUCAAUAUUGGGGUGUAGUCCGGUUCUAAUGCAUCCAAAGGUAUUCUUAAUCUUAAGUUAAUUUCUGUAUGUUUCUUUAGUUUCCUUUAGUUUUCUUUACUCAAAUCCUAACUGGUUGUUUUCCAUUCUUGGUUAGGUAUUUAAGUUCUUUGAACUUAAGGUUUCUUUUCGGAGUGUUUCAAAUCCCGUCCUUGUUCUCAUAUCCUGGUCAUGGAAAAUUGUUAUGGCGGCGAAAGGAUUCUUGGCAGCUUGGUUUGUGUAUUAAGGAUGAAGGGAUUCGAUGGACUGCGUGAACGAUUCGAGGAGGACGUUAUUUUUAGUCUUUUUAUUAUGUUUUUAUAUAUUAUCCGCAUUUAGCUUUGUAAACAAUUUCAUUAAAGUUUAAAGUUAUAUUUUAUUUUCA